CGGAGGGUGCAAGCGUUAUCCGGAUUCACUGGGUUUAAGGGGUGCGUAGUGGGCAAGUAAGUCAGUGGUGAAAUCUCCGGGCUUAACCCGGAAACUGCCAUUGAUACUAUUUGUCUUGAAUACUGUGGAGGUCAGCGGAAUAUGUCAUGUAGCGGUGAAAUGCUUAGAUAUGACAUAGAACACCAAUUGCGAAGGCAGCUGGCUACACAAAUAUUGACACUGAGGCACGAAAGCGUGGGGAUCAAACAGGAUUAGAUACCCUGGUAGCCCACGCCCUAAACUAUGGAUACUCGACAUUUGCGAUAAACUGCAAGUGUCUGAGCGAAAGCAUUAAGUAUCCCACCUGGGAAGUACGAUCGCAAGAUUG
RNAcentral lists this ribosomal RNA (367 nucleotides) under uncultured organism. RNAcentral describes it as "bacterial SSU rRNA". It matches the Rfam family "Bacterial small subunit ribosomal RNA", at positions 526 to 896 of the family's 1533-position model. The record is from RNAcentral.